GUGAGAGAGAAUAAAUGAUGUGUUUUUUUUGUUUGUUUUUUUUUUAAGCCAUUAAGCUUUGGGCAACUUGCCAGGCAGUGUUAGAGAACCAGGGUGCAGAGCGUAAAGUCAUGCAUGAAGUAGUGGGGUGAAAACACAGCUAUGAGGAAGUCCCUUUUUCUGUGGGACAGAGGGUCAGGGAGCACUUGAAACAAGCGGAGAGCUAAUGCUGUGCCUAAGGGCAUCUAAGAGUCAGGUCUGAAAGAAGACCACUGAUGAGACCACUCAAGAAUAAAUGUGGAAGGCAGAAUCUGUCAGUUAAUAUCUCCUGCAAAAAAGACAAAAGCCAGGAGAGCCAAUCAAAAUACACCUGCAAGAAUCUAGAACCUGUGGAACCUCCCGAAGUUUGUUGUUUUUGCCACUCUGGUCUAGUUUUACAGAGUGGAAAGCUCUUGAAUGUUUGUUUAGGGCAGCACGUCACAAAGAGUCGGGGAGUGGGGAGAGACAGUGCCCCACCCAAAGCUACUUGGAGGCAGCUACCAGGAAGAGAGGCAAGACUGAAAAUAAAUAGACUAAUCUUCCUCAGAUACCAUCUCAUCACAUACUUCCCAUGCUUCACACCUCUGGUGGGAUGUUGCUUCUCAGAAGUUAAAGUGUAGAUCGUUUGCUUGGUUUUUGCCUCGGCUUCUGCAUGGCCCACCCUCGGCACUGUACCACGAGGACCCAGAAGGCACCUUCAACUCCUCAGCUGACCUGCGGAGCAGCCCCUCUUCACUCCCGUGUGCUCUGGUCCUGGUGACCUGUCCCCUCCCUGCAGACUUCUUCUUCUGUCAGCUCCCAUUGGCUGAACCCAACGAGAAGUCAGAGAAAAAAGAGCAGGAUCCGAGGAGUGAAUGAAGAUAUGGAACCCAGCGUGACCAGUAGGACACAGGCAGCCCUGAUACUGGAAAGAAACCUUCCACCAAAAACAAGAGACUGGCUAGCUUCCUGAAGGAAGAGGAACUAGGAACAAUCGUGGCUCCAGCCCCUGUUGUGAUUCUUCUACCUUGCUGAUCUAACUGCCUCAGGAAGAUGCCGUAUCUGCUCCAUCGCCCACCGUGCGCCUGCCCAGCCCUAGCUCUGAACCGGGUACUCAGUGGGCAUUGGUCACACACAUGUGGAGCAAGGGAAGGCAACUGUGCUCUCUCAUCAGACUAUGAAAGGGAGUAAACCAUGACUGGAUGCUCCAGGGAUGUCUGUGGGACCUGAAACUUAAGACAAUUUGAAGG
Long non-coding RNA from Bos taurus (domestic cattle), 1247 nucleotides. The record is from Ensembl. NCBI's taxonomy places the organism in Eukaryota, Metazoa, Chordata, Mammalia, Artiodactyla, Bovidae.